UGGGGAAUUUUGGACAAUGGGCGCAAGCCUGAUCCAGCCAUGCCGCGUGCGGGAAGAAGGCCUUCGGGUUGUAAACCGCUUUUGUCAGGGAAGAAAUCUUCUGAGUUAAUACCUCGGGAGGAUGACGGUACCUGAAGAAUAAGCACCGGCUAACUACGUGCCAGCAGCCGCGGUAAUACGUAGGGUGCAAGCGUUAAUCGGAAUUACUGGGCGUAAAGCGUGCGCAGGCGGUUUUGUAAGACAGAGGUGAAAUCCCCGGGCUCAACCUGGGAACUGCCUUUGUGACUGCAAGGCUUGAGUGCGGCAGAGGGGGGAUGGAAUUCCGCGUGUAGCAGUGAAAAUGCGUAGAUAUGCGGAGGAAACACCGAUGGCGAAGGCAAAUCCCCUGGGCCUGCACUGACGCUCAUGCACGAAAGCGUGGGGAGCAAAACAGGAUUAGAUACCCUGGUAGUCCACGCCCU
Molecule: ribosomal RNA, 461 nt
Filed under: uncultured bacterium
Lineage: Bacteria
Description: partial 16S ribosomal RNA
Rfam family: Bacterial small subunit ribosomal RNA
Source: RNAcentral